Molecule: ribosomal RNA, 482 nt
Filed under: uncultured bacterium
Lineage: Bacteria
Description: partial 16S ribosomal RNA
Rfam family: Bacterial small subunit ribosomal RNA
Source: RNAcentral
AUUGAACGCUGGCGGCAUGCCUUACACAUGCCAGUCGAACGGUAACAGGUCUUCGGAUGCUGACGAGUGGCGAACGGGUGAGUAAUACAUCGGAACGUGCCCGAUCGUGGGGGAUAACGAAGCGAAAGCUUUGCUAAUACCGCAUAAGCUCUACGGAUGAAAGCAGGGGACCGCAAGGCCUUGCGCGAACGGAGCGGCCGAUGGCAGAUUAGGUAGUUGGUGGGAUAAAAGCUUACCAAGCCGACGAUCUGUAGCUGGUCUGAGAGGACGACCAGCCACACUGGGACUGAGACACGGCCCAGACUCCUACGGGAGGCAGCAGUGGGGAAUUUUGGACAAUGGGCGAAAGCCUGAUCCAGCCAUGCCGCGUGCAGGAUGAAGGCCUUCGGGUUGUAAACUGCUUUUGUACGGAACGAAAAGACUCUGGUUAAUACCUGGGGUCCAUGACGGUACCGUAAGAAUAAGCACCGGCUAACUACGUG